GGCGGCGGCGUCACUCGGGUGCGCGCGUGCGUGGGUGCGUCACGUGCCGCCGAGGGCGGGACGGGCUGAGGGGAGCUCGCGCCGCCCCCGGCCCCUGAGGGGAGCCCGCGCAUGGCCGCGGCCCCUGGGUCCCGUGGGGGGCCCUUGGGCCCCGUUAGGGUCCUCUUGGGGUCCCCCUGGGUCCCAUUAGGGUCCUCUUGGAUCCUCUUGGGUCCUAUUAGGGUCCCCCUGGGUCCUAUUGGGGUUCCUUAGGUCCCGUUAGGGUCCUCUUAGGGUCCCCCUGGGUCCCAUUAGUGUCCUGUUGAGGUCCCAUUAGGGUCCCCCUGUGUCCCCUCAGAUCCCCAUGGCCCAGGGCUGGCGCCAGCCCCAGCCCCCCCUGCGCCUCCCCUCAGCCUCUCCCGAGCCCUCAGGCCCGCCCGGGCAGGGCAGCGCAGCCCCUCAGGUGCUGUGGGGACAGGAGUGACCCAGCAGGGCGAGGCUGGGGCAAAAGCCCAAGCUGAUGUUGGUGCCCAUGCCAGGGAGGGGUCUGUAGGCUGCGAGGGUAGGUCCUUUCCUUAAGCUGUGUGAGGAGUCAGCGAUGCUGGCUUGAGUUAGGGUGAUUUUGUAAAUCCCAAAGAGUUACAGGAGUUAGGGGGCGUUUUCCCAGUGGUUUUGAAGCUUUCCAGGCUGGCAGUCGAGUGGAGCGUGCUGUAGGAGUGGGAGGUGGCGCCUGUGGUGCCGGCUGUCCCACAGGGAGCUUCUGGGGGCGCUGCCGCAGGGACUCCGGCCCACCGACACCAACUUCUGCCUGCAGCUUUCUCCUGCUGCCCCCCAGAAGCUGGAAGCAGCCGUAGCACUGAGUGUGUUGUACGUGGGUGUGGUGCCCGUGGGCCCUGCGUUGGGAUGGGUCUUGAUUUUACGUCUUAGUUGAGUUUGGAGCGAGUGGCCUGCAGUGAAAGGAGCGUCACCGCUUAGGAAGCAGAAGUUGUUCUUGCAGCCACCGCCUCCUCCUGGGCCUUCCUUGUCAGAAGUGUCAGAAACCAUCCCCAGCGUGCGCUGGGGGGGCCGACCUAUUGGUCCCAGAUUCCUCACUUGGAGGCGUUUUUGAGCCGGUUUGCAGACGAUUCAAGCCCCCCGCACCCCAGCUUCCACCUCCUGAAAACCAUCCUCCUGGCAUCUCUGAAUUAGACACCCAGAGGCAGGGGUUGCUGCCUGGAAAGCUGUCUGGGCGAGGCCUUUCCUAGGGACGGCUUGCCUGGGAGCAGAAAUGCAGGAGCCGGAGCUGAGGAGCGCCCAGGCGCUUUGAUGAGGCCCCGGCUGAGCUCAACCCCUCAUUUCCUGCUCCUCACAGCUCUGUGC
RNAcentral lists this long non-coding RNA (1338 nucleotides) under Anser brachyrhynchus (Pink-footed goose). RNAcentral describes it as "lncRNA (ENSABRG00000004186.1)". Lineage: Eukaryota; Metazoa; Chordata; Aves; Anseriformes; Anatidae. The record is from RNAcentral.